UACGAAGGGUGCUAGCGUUGUUCGGAAUUACUGGGCGUAAAGCGCGCGUAGGCGGCGAUUCAAGUCAGAGGUGAAAUCCCCAGGCUCAACCUGGGAAUUGCCUUUGAAACUAGAUCGCUAGAAUCUUGGAGGGGAUAGCGGAAUUCCGAAUGUAGCGGUGAAAUGCGUAGAUAUUCGGAGGAACACCGGUGGCGAAGGCGGCUAUCUGGACAAGUAUUGACGCUGAGGCGCGAAAGCGUGGGGAUCAAACAGG
Molecule: ribosomal RNA, 253 nt
Filed under: uncultured bacterium
Lineage: Bacteria
Description: partial 16S ribosomal RNA
Rfam family: Bacterial small subunit ribosomal RNA
Source: RNAcentral